Molecule: ribosomal RNA, 250 nt
Filed under: uncultured Actinomycetales bacterium
Lineage: Bacteria; Bacillati; Actinomycetota; Actinomycetes; Actinomycetales
Description: partial 16S ribosomal RNA
Rfam family: Bacterial small subunit ribosomal RNA
Source: RNAcentral
UACGUAGGGUGCGAGCGUUGUCCGGAAUUAUUGGGCGUAAAGAGCUUGUAGGCGGUUUGUCGCGUCUGCUGUGAAAAUCUGGGGCUUAACUCCGGACGUGCAGUGGGUACGGGCAGGCUAGAGUGUGGUAGGGGAGACUGGAAUUCCUGGUGUAGCGGUGAAAUGCGCAGAUAUCAGGAGGAACACCGAUGGCGAAGGCAGGUCUCUGGGCCAUAACUGACGCUGAGAAGCGAAAGCAUGGGUAGCGAAC